This 498-nucleotide ribosomal RNA is filed under the name uncultured bacterium. RNAcentral describes it as "bacterial SSU rRNA". It matches the Rfam family "Bacterial small subunit ribosomal RNA", at positions 30 to 509 of the family's 1533-position model. The record is from RNAcentral.
AUUGAACGCUGGUGGCAUGCUUUACACAUGCAAGUCGAACGGUAACAGGCCUUCGGGCGCUGACGAGUGGCGAACGGGUGAGUAAUGCAUCGGAACGUGCCCAGAGGUGGGGGAUAACGCAGCGAAAGCUGUGCUAAUACCGCAUAUUAUCUGAGGAUGAAAGCGGGGGACUAAGCAGCAAUGUUUGGCCUCGCGCCUUUGGAGCGGCCGAUGUCAGAUUAGGUAGUUGGUGGGGUAAAGGCCUACCAAGCCGACGAUCUGUAGCUGGUCUGAGAGGACGACCAGCCACACUGGGACUGAGACACGGCCCAGACUCCUACGGGAGGCAGCAGUGGGGGAAUUUUGGACAAUGGGGGGCAACCCUGAUCCAGCAAUGCCGCGUGAGUGAAGAAGGCCUUCGGGUUGUAAAGCUCUUUGUCAGGGAGAAACACCGCUCUAACACAGUCCGGGAACGUGACGGGUAACCUCGAAGAAUAAAGCACCGGCUAACUACGUGCC